Unclassified non-coding RNA from Macaca fascicularis (crab-eating macaque), 148 nucleotides. It matches the Rfam family "Metazoan signal recognition particle RNA". Rfam says of the family: The signal recognition particle (SRP) is a universally conserved ribonucleoprotein. It is involved in the co-translational targeting of proteins to membranes. NCBI's taxonomy places the organism in Eukaryota, Metazoa, Chordata, Mammalia, Primates, Cercopithecidae. The record is from Ensembl.
GCCGGGUGUGGUGGUGGGCGCCUGUAAUCCCAGCUACUCUGGAGGCUGAGGCAGGGGAAUCGCUUGAACCCGGGAGCUAGAGGUUGCAGUGAGCCGAGAUCUCGCCACUGCACUCUACCCUGGGCAACAGAGCGAGACUCCGUCUCAA